RNAcentral lists this unclassified non-coding RNA (404 nucleotides) under Zea mays. RNAcentral describes it as "misc RNA Zm00001eb425340". The record is from RNAcentral. Lineage: Eukaryota; Viridiplantae; Streptophyta; Magnoliopsida; Poales; Poaceae.
CGCCGAACACGCUGCAGCAGGGAGCUCGGCAGGGCGGUGGCCUGAAGAACGGGCAGAGGGAUGAGUGCAGGGGGAGAGCCAAGGGCUGCUCGCGCCCAAAGGCCGACGGCCAUGGAUCCAGAGCACCCUGCGACCACCAUGGGAGACGAGCAGAAGACUCGCGCGAGCUGGAAGAGGAAGGGAGGGCGCGCGUCAGGGAGAUGGAGCGCCAGGAACAGACGCGCCAUGCCUGGGAGCUUGGAGAGGGAGACGGCCAGGGAGCUGUGAACCGAAGGAAGGAAAUCCGGGCACGCGACGGAAUUCAGCCGGGCGCCAUGAGAGCCGUGCGCACGUGGGAGAUCCGGCGAGCUGCAGGUUCUCUGUCGACCGCAUCGUGGCUAUGUCCUGCGGCGCCACAGGCUUCG